This 77-nucleotide transfer RNA is filed under the name Diadegma semiclausum. RNAcentral describes it as "tRNA-Pro". The record is from RNAcentral. Lineage: Eukaryota; Metazoa; Arthropoda; Insecta; Hymenoptera; Ichneumonidae.
CAAAAAAUAGUUUAAUAAAAAUAUUAAUUUUGGAAAUUAAUGAUAUAAUUUAUUUAAAAAAAAUUUUAUUUUUUUGA